UUAAAUAAGAUUUUUAAGAUUUUCGGAAACCCAAAACGUUUGAUUUGUGACGCGGGUAGCGCAUUUACAUCAAAGCUAUUCACAGAGUAUUGCAACGCUAGGCAUAUAAGACGUCAUAUUAUUGCGACAGCCGUACCUCGCUCGAACGGCCAAGUCGAGCGAUAUAACUUGACGAUUUUAGAAGCCUUGCGCAGCAUGGGCGCUGAUACAGAAAAUAAUAAAUGGGAUACGCACAUACCAAGUAUCCAACAAGGCAUUAAUAGCACUGUCAACAAAACCACAGCCGCAGUACCCAGUGAGGUUUUUUUUGGAUACCGAAUUCGAAUGAAUAAUGAUGCGAUUAUUGAUGAUAAUUUAGAAAGUACUAUCGAUGUCACUGCAUUAAGAAACACUGUCGAUAAUAAUAUUAAAAAAGAUGCCGAACGACAGAAAGCAUCAUUUGACUCAAAAAGAAAGGAGGCAAGGCAGUAUAAGGUUGGCGAUUUAGUUGUGCUGAAAAUUCCUAGUCAGUCCAAUGAUGGUAAUAGCACAAAAUUAUUACCUUUGUACAAAGGGCCCUUCCAAAUUACCGAGGUUUUAGGGCAAGAUAGGUACAAGGUCACUGAUCUUCGAGGCGCUGAAAGGAGUUCUAAAAGGUAUGAUGGAACGGCUUGCGUGGAGAAUAUGAAGCCGUGGAUCCAUAUAGAGGAGUAACCGGCUGUUGUCGAUGAAAGCUUCCGCAUCAGGCCCUAACGAGUUCCAGGAGUAACUCGUGGUCCAGGAGGGCCGGAUGUUGUCGCCACGGCAUUUUGGCAACACCACUUUGACGAUCCUGGCAACGCUGCGCGUGACGUACAUCCGGAGCUGUCAAACCCAACGUCAUAAAAGGACAAGCACAAGGCGGGAGCGACCACUUGCCAUCUAGCAGCCACCAGCGAGGGACUACUUGGUUAUAAAUGUAUUGCUGAUCUGAGUAUAAUUGUAUCAUACCUAUUUGUGAUAUCAUUCACGGUCGUAUUAAGUGUAAUAUGAUCUGCAUAUUAUACUUAAUACGAUCAGUUUGUUUCUUGUACAAUUGUUAAUUGAAUUAAUAAAUAAAUGUAUUGAUGUUG
This is a long non-coding RNA of Cydia fagiglandana, 1091 nucleotides long. RefSeq lists it as uncharacterized. Lineage: Eukaryota; Metazoa; Arthropoda; Insecta; Lepidoptera; Tortricidae. The record is from RefSeq and is a predicted model, not a curated record. The transcript has 2 exons.